This 303-nucleotide ribosomal RNA is filed under the name uncultured bacterium. RNAcentral describes it as "partial 16S ribosomal RNA". It matches the Rfam family "Bacterial small subunit ribosomal RNA", at positions 507 to 807 of the family's 1533-position model. The record is from RNAcentral.
AGCAGUCGCCGCGGUAAUACAGAGGAUGCAAGCGUUAUCCGGAAUGAUUGGGCGUAAAGCGUCUGUAGGUGGCUUUUCAAGUCCGCCGUCAAAUCCCAGGGCUCAACCCUGAACAGGCGGUGGAAACUACCAAGCUGGUGUACGGUAGGGGCAGAGGGAAUUUCCGGUGGAGCGGUGAAAUGCGUUGAAAUCGGAAAGAACACCAACGGCGAAAGCACUCUGCUGGGCCGACACUGACACUGAGAGACGAAAGCUAGGGGAGCAAAUGGGAUUAGAUACCCCCGUAGUCCCUGUCUCUUAUAC